Molecule: long non-coding RNA, 2191 nt
Organism: Oncorhynchus mykiss (rainbow trout)
Lineage: Eukaryota; Metazoa; Chordata; Actinopteri; Salmoniformes; Salmonidae
Source: RefSeq, a predicted model, not a curated record
UCCUCAGGAUGUGAAUUGGCUGGACCAAGAGUUCUUGGUCCACACCUGUCUGAGCUCUCUGACCUCACCUUCCUUUCCCCACUGGGAGACAACCCCGGGACUGGGAAGAAUGCCGUUCCAAGUCUGCCACCUUCAACGCCCCUCGGUAACACAUCCCUGACCCCAUGGAACAUAUCUCCACCCAUCAUCACGGCAAACCCAAGGACAAGAGAGACAAUCGAGGAGUGGGCGAUAAUGUAACAUUGAGACCAGGAGUAGCCACUGAUGAAGAAGGCAACAAUUCCUCUGGAUUCUAUUGGAAGCACCCUUACAUCCAACCAGCAGAGCAGAAAGGUGAGAAUACAGAACAGGGAGGACUGACCAUCCUUUACUGGUGAACUGGCUUAUUUGUAUCCAUGUGUUGCAGGAUGAACCAAAAGACUACUGGGAAUAUUUUACUGAAUUAUCUCCACUCAUCCAAUGCUGACUUUACAGUUCCAAUCAGAAUUCAUUGUGACUGUUAGUUGGUUGUUUUGUAAAGAUGAAUUCCCACAAAUAGGUUUGAAAGCAUGUUAAUAUUUAUUUAUAUUUAAGAUAUUUAACCUGCUUAGAUGUUAGGGACUGAACACCCUCUAGUGGUUGUGUAUGUACAACGACAAACAUGUGUGCCUAACAUCAAUAAAAUGCAUUCCUUAUAUUUACCGAAGUCACAUAUAUUGGGGAAAAACAAGAGAACAGGUGAUCCCCAAAAAAGAUUUUAUUUUUCAAGCUACAGUUAAAGAAAAACAAUACCAGAGGCCGAAAAUAUAACAUCUGCUAGGCUUUCUUUUCCUCUCUUUUCACUUUCAAAUAUGUACAGUUAUCGAAGAACAGGGUAUAUACAGAGAAUCGAAGGGAAGGGUGGUGGACAGAGUGCAUUUGCUUUUUGGGGACUAAACAUGACUCUUCCACCAACAAAAAAAGCAAGGUAAAACCAACCAACAUAAAAGGACCUGCCACGACACUGGUGAUAUCAAAUUACUUUUCUGUACAAUACAAACAGUCUACUUUGUUUCACGAAUGAGAAUUAUGAGGGUGAGGGAUUUGUAUGUUCUCUGAUUUGGAAGCAAAUCUCAACUAGCGUUUUCUGAACUUUUAAACAAAAAUAAUGAUAACAUGAAAGAAAUACAAAAUAUAUAUUUUACAACCAUUCAUGCAAAAAGAUGUUCAAGCCACUUCUACAAGGUGAAGUGGCUCCAACUUUUUCCGUCACGACAGUUUACAACAAUCACAUCAAUCUCCCAAACCAGAAGUCUCUAAUGAAAAGAACGCACAAAUGUGAAUAAAAACAAAAAAAAGCACAGAACAAGCAUUGGAGGAAUUUGAAGUCUGUCGCCAAGUCAAACCGCAACCAAAGGGUAGUCAUGGUAUUCCAUUGUCAUGCAGAGGGAACUCAAAGUAAUCAAGUGGUGAUGUAGCAGAUGUUGACCCACUCCUCAAAGCUUAUACUGCACCAGUUGACAAAAAAAAUGUAUUUUAAAAAAAUAUAUAUUUACUGGUUAUGGGCUGGAUCUAAAAACUUUACAGCACAGCCCUUAGUUUAAAAGUUAGUGUAUUAGCAAUUGCCAAAAGCAAUUAACUUUCAAAUGAAAUAACCACAAAAAAAGGGGGUGUUUGGUUUGGGCUUGUGCUUGUUUUAGUGCACUGUUGUAGCACAAGUUAGUGCAUAUUUCUAUGGAAUAGAUUGAACAUUUCAAUUUUGAUAUGAUAUUGUUUCAAUCAGAAAACCUCUGAUGAGAGAAAUCCUAUAGGGGCUUAACACUGUGGCAAGCGGUACUGAGUGUAAUAGACAGAAACUAAUAAACAAAUGCCAAAAUUGAAAGCUUACAUAAGAAAAAAGUAGCAAAAAAAUAAAGAGAGACCCUUUUUAGACCUAAAAAUGAGAAACUUAUGGACAAAAACAAACAUGUUUGUUUUCUUUUCAGAUAAUGAAGGGGGUUGUGCCUCUGCCAUGGUGUGGCAGUCGCAUUGAACACUGGUUACAGAGGGUCUGACAAAAGUGGAUGUACCAUUAUAAAAUACUAGCUUUUUCCUUUGAACGUUGACAGAAAAGCAACCCAUCAAAUGUCCUAAAUAAAUAAUUAUCUAUACCUUGUCAUGCACCUUAUGCUAUGACCUUAAUGUAAAAGCCAGGAAAUGGAUCUCUGUAUGGUUGCCUUAGCAUUUCAAUGAA